CUCGUAGGCGGUUUGAUAAGUCGGGUGUGAAACCUCCAGGCUCAACCUGGAGCCGCCAUUCGAUACUGUCAUGACUAGAAUUCGGUAGGGGACCACGGAAUUCCUGGUGUAGCGGUGAAAUGCGCAGAUAUCAGGAGGAACACCAGCAGCGAAGGCGGUGGUCUGGGCCGACAUUGACGCUGAGGAGCGAAAGCGUGGGGAGCGAACAGGAUUAGAUACCCUGGUAGUCCACGCCGUAAACGUUGGGCACUAGGUGUGGGGACUAUUCAACGGUUUCCGUGCCGCAGCUAACGCAUUAAGUGCCCCGCCUGGGGAGUACGGCCGCAAGGCUAAA
Molecule: ribosomal RNA, 334 nt
Filed under: uncultured bacterium
Lineage: Bacteria
Description: bacterial SSU rRNA
Rfam family: Bacterial small subunit ribosomal RNA
Source: RNAcentral